This is an RNA transcript of Coturnix japonica (Japanese quail), 19024 nucleotides long. RefSeq lists it as uncharacterized. NCBI's taxonomy places the organism in Eukaryota, Metazoa, Chordata, Aves, Galliformes, Phasianidae. The record is from RefSeq and is a predicted model, not a curated record.
ACAUGACAAACGUUCACAAGAAAGAGACUCUCAGUCUGGCCCUGAAAACCCAUACAACCAUCCGAUAACACCCUUCCGAAUCCAAAUUCAAGUAGUUGCAGACUGAGAUUGCAGGAUAUGGUCUGGUAAAUUGGCAGAGCCUGAGAGCAGUUACCAGCACCUGCCCAGAUGGCUUCCUGGCAUCGCGAACAUGCAACAGCCCAUGCAGCAGGAAGAACCACUGCCUGCAUGGUGCAGGGGGAAACUGAGGCACGAGGAAGCUGAAAAUGCCAAGGCUGCAAUAUGUCCUGCAGCACAGACAGCGCAGAGGGAAGAAAUCUCAGCCUGCUCUUCUGCUGUGCAUUAAAACAAAGGCAAAGCUCACGAGGGUUAAAGGCUGCGAAACUCAACAUUAAACAGUCCAGCAAGCCCAGCAGAGGUUAAGACAAGGCUGUGACACCAGAGACACAAUGGGACUCUCCUUCUGUGCUACAUAUGUACACGGGUAUUGAGGACAUGCAUCUCUCCUCAUCGAAAAUCAUGAAUUUUUAUGAAGUAAGCCUUGCUUUCCCAUAAUUCAGUAGGGUGCACUUUGCAGACCCUAAAGUGCUGUCACUACAGAACGUUUCAUUGCUUGCACCUGCUAAAACAUUUGAGGUAUUUGAGAGGCAGUGAAACACAUUUGCUUUUCAUUUUAUCUGACUUUGAAAAUCUUUGAAGUGUUUAAUAGUAGUCCAGAAAAGAUUUCUGCCUCUUAAUCAUUUACUUGUAGGGCACAUUCUCCACUGGUAGCCUGUCAGGCAGAAAACGAGUUUAGCCCAGUUUUAUUAAGUGCCACAUGCCGAGUCAGUGUUCAUUAAAGGUGUUUUAAGGUUUGAAUUAUGUAAUUUAUGAGAAAAAGAAAUACAAAAUUCCAUUGUUUUAUUAAUAUGCAGCACAGGAUAUACUGCUAAUAACAUACUUUUUAAACAGAAGUUUUAUUAAAAAAAAAUGCUUUUACGGGGGGCUACAGAUAGGCUUUUAAAAAUCUCUUUUUCCCUGUUCAAUAAAAUUCAAACGUUUUAAUUCAAUCAGCAUAGAUUUGAAAAAGGAACUAUUCUUAACCUCUCCUUUCGGUCACUUUUCUUUACACACACUGUAGAUAAAAGGGGAAAAUAGGAAUUCUUUUUUUUCCUUUUUAAUAGAGGUGACUAUAUAUGGUACUAAAAGCAAGCCCAUGCUGAAACCUGCAGUCAGAUGUAAAUUCAUAAACAAAACAAAAAAUAAAUGAAAAAGCUAUAGAAAAAGAAUAAAGAAAGAAAAACUCUCCCUUAUAACCCCAGGAAACACUGUUUUCCAGAGUUAUUUUAAAUUGCUCCCCACAGGUUCACAGCUAACGGGAUACUUUUAAUUAGACUAAGGCUUAGCUAAAUCUUUUGGUAGCCCACUAAACCAUUUUUAUAGUCUACACAGUUUAAAUAUUGUAAAUAGAUUUUCUUAAGCAUACGGGAAAGGUCCAGCCCAUGAAAUUCAAGAAGGAGUACAUUUUUCUUCCCAGCCUCUCUGGCUCAGGUUACCCCAGUCCAGACCCACAGACAUGGGGCAGGGCUGAUCCAGCAUGGGUUCUGUCCCUGAAAUGGGACUGCAUCCAUCCAAGCUCUCCAUACCCCUCUCGGCAGCAAAACUCCCACCCGCCUGCAUUCAGGGGUGUUGCUUGAAAGCAAUUGUGUGAGGCCUGAGGAACCAAGGCCAGUUGAGUUUAAUAUGAAUUUUUAUUGCUAUGGGAAAGUCUUCAUUAUCCAAACUUAUAUCAAACUGGAAUUAAUUAACCCCUUCAAGACAGACUGCAGCUGCUAUUCCUGCAGUGUCUGAGAGUGAGGGUUUGUUUUGCUCUGUUUCACUUAUUUCAUUAGUUUGCUAUAUGAUGAUGGCAAGUCCUGGGAACAGAGAAAAGCUUAGAUUUGGGCUGGACACACCAUGUCCACAAUGCUUUGCUUCUGGAUAGCUUGGGUUGUACAGAAAAGAAAGUGGUGGUGUCCUUAGUGCUGAUGGAAAAGGAACACAAAGAUUGCAGAUGGAAUACAAGUAAAUAACUUUGGAGUUCCACAUGCCUAAUCCUGCUCACAUUUUGUUGUGAUGAUCACACAGAAUCUGACCUUUGACAUUUGUCUGAGUGCACCAUACAGAAAAUCAUAUAGCUGGAUUAUUAAUUGACAAGAGGACCUGGCACGUGGCUCAUGGAGAGUAAUGAUGUUCUAUGCAGAGGACAUUGAGAGUUAUGUAUUGCCAACAGGCAGCAAUAUAUGAAAUUUCUGACACAAAAUAAUCAGUCAUAGCAAACUGUAUGCAGAAUACAGAUGUCUCAGAAUAACGGUAGUAAAACAUCUUGAACAGGAAUAGCAAUUAUACUUGAACACAACCAUUAAUUUUUAAAUUUAAGUUAAGAAGGGGGAACAACCCAUAAUUAUAUUAAAACCUUGCUCAUUUGAUCCAGAAUAAUAUUUUUAAUGAAUUCUAUAUGGAGCCAAGAACUGUUAAAAAAAAACCUUGCCCUGCAGAAAAUGUACUUUUAAAAAACCUAUUUACUCUGAAUGAAAAGUUAUUUUUACAGUGAGUCCUCACUUUAUGGCAGACACAUGCUUGUAAAAAUUGCCAUUGUUUGUGUGGAAAGUGGGAGAAGAAAAAAGCAAGGGGAAAAAUUUGCACAUACUUUACCUUACAGCGUGCCAGCCAUGUUUAAGAUGGCUUCCACAGCUCUGACCUUGCUCACGAGUCACCAGCUGGAGCAGCACUGUUGUUUGAACCAAGCAUGUGCCUAACCAGGACCUUAAGCUGCAGCUCUUGGGAAGCCUGGGAAUCACAACAGGGCAUCAGCCUGUACUCCAGCUCUUAAUUAUGUCUUUGAGAAGACCUCUGAUCUCUGGAGCAAAUUUGUCUAGGUAGGAGGGCAACGUGAUGAGAUUACUGCCUGCCACCUGCUGAGGCCAUGGAGGUGGAAGGUGGUGGCACAAAGCGUGCUGCUUCAUCUUCUGAGUCUUGCAGAACUUGCCAUGUGCUGUGGUCAUGCUCAUGACUGCUGGGAAAAUAUCCCUUCCUUGUGCAUAUGCAUAAGGAGUGGAAGAUUUAUUGGCUGGGUACUGCGUCCCCCAGAAGAUGGAAGCAUGCCUCUCUGAAGUGGAAGAGAGAGAUUGCUUUUAAGUCAAGUGGAAGAACUAGCUGCUUCAGUUUUAUUGCAGAAUCAUGCUGGUAAUACAUCCAGAUUACUGAAGCUCAGAGUAAGGAAGUCAAUUUAUAAUGACUUUGCCAUUGUCCUGUUGCUAAUGUGCCACAUUUGAUUCUCCUCAGCUGGCUUUGAAAGGUCUCUUUGAGGAAAGAGGAGAUAGCACCCUUGCUUAUGAAAAAGGCAAAUUAUACCCGGGGGCAACAUCGCUGCACAACAGGAAAGGGCCAGCCUCCUCCCAGGAGACAUGGCCCCAAAUUAAAUGCAAGUAAUUUCCUGACUAACCUGUGAUUUCUAUCUGGUUGUGGCUUCUGGCAUACAACUAAGUCUCCGGUUCUGCUGUUCUGUUCAGCAGGUCUCACAUGUGCUUUCACUUUCAUUUCCAAACUUUAAUACAGAACAGCCCAUCCACAACCUGCUGCUGAGGCAGUGGAGGCCAGGGAGGCUGGCUCUGCAUUGGGCAGGAGGAAUGACUGGCUGCUAAGGGAGGGGACCCACCAGAGGGGUCCCUCAGCCACAGUGUCAAUGUGGUGGUAGAGGAGAUACAGAGAAACAUGCUACUGCAACUUGCUCCUCUCUGUCCCGUAAGUCGUCCAAGUAGGUUUUGGAACUGGCUGCAGUCUUCACUUACCAUGAAUCUGAAACCCAUGGAACAAUCAUAUGUGUUAGGCUGGAAUAACCCAAUCAGUAGCUUUUCUUUUUACAGUGGGCAGGUCUCUGUCUAGAAAAUCACUGAAAUUAGGUCUAAAUGAUUUUGUUAUGACCCCAACAAAGGAUUCAGGGACAGAUGGGAAGGGUCACAUGUGUCUGGCCAGGCACCAGCUCAGGGAGAGAAACCCUGGGAAGGGGGCAAGUGGAACAAGCAGAACUCCACGGGAUGUAGAAUGGGAGAGGAAAGCCUUACAGAACAACACAAAUUACAUUCACAUUUUCUGUGGUUUCUUCAAGGAGAAAGCCGUUCCUUGAAGUAAGGAACAGGAUACUCAACAGUCCCCAAGCACCAGUGGGCAAGUGAUGACAGAUUUGCUUUGCUAAAAGUACUUUAUUAUGAUUGAUCUCAAAUACCACUCUUCCUCUCGAACUUCUACAACAUUUCAAGGAUAUUUUCUAUGGACUAUGUAGAACUUCUGUAUUGGCAAGUAGCUGUUGAGUAGAUCACCUGCAUAUGGGCCACAGACAACUGAAAUAAUGCGCAUAGGAUUAGGGUGAGUCAAAUGGCUGACCCUCUUUAAAGUAAUCAGUGAGUGGUUGAAAAGUUCACACUAAUAAAUGCAGGGACAUGCCAGUCUUAUCUCUAUAGACAAUCAAAAUUUUAAACUAAUGUUCUUGUAUGUAGUGAAACAAAACAAAAGCUCCCUUACUGCUCCUUGAAAUCAGUAGAGGUGGUAAGUUAUUGUGUGACUUGUUUUUUCUGAAUGAACUAAGACUUUAAGGGACUACACACUCAAAAAGCACCAGAGAGGUUCUAAUGCUUUACACAGAUCCAUACAGAGAAAGGGAGUAUCAGUCUUCUUUCAUUUAAGUCCCAGGGUAAAAUCAGUUUUUAUGCUGAUAGUACAGUUUUGUUUGGGAUAAUUAUUUUGAACUUGCUCAUUUUCCCAACCUAAACAGCUAAUCUGUAGUUUGUAUUCAGCCAUAGUAUCAAAAAUCUUCUUUCCACUUGUGUGAGUAAUUUCAUAAUGGUCGCUACAUAAAGAAGAGGCUGUGACAUAAAGAAACUGUACCAUUUUUAUUCUGUUGAUAUAAUCAAAGUAAUAAAACCUGUGCAUGUAAAUGAUAAGAGAUGUUAGUGCCAUGUUGCUGGGAAACUGGCUCAGAAACAACAGUGAAUGAAAUGCAUCUGGGAAUAAGAAGCUAAUUCAUAUAGUAAAUAAUAGGUUGCACAAAUUUAAUCAGUUGGAAAACCAUUACAUGUGUAAGUGGAUACCCUGUGGGGGGAAAAACUUAGAUUUGAUGCACUGGACUGAAUGAUCAGUCCACUCGGGAUUUUGUUGUGUAAACACCUAUUUCUAUCACUUCAAGGGAGUUUUUGGGUUGAGCAGUUUAUUUUAAUUUAAGAAAUAACUGACGUGUAUGAAAAGGCAUAGCUGUAGAUUUUGGUUUUGUUGUACUGCCCUUCAAAGAUCAGAAGGUUUCCUUCUAAACUUCUCUACCUAAAACCUAAAUGAAACUGUAGUGCAUGUAGAAACAGGUGAUCUUACCAAUUUAGUCCCCAUUUCUGGUUUAAACCGUGUGAAAAAUGCUCAGUUUUGGCAAGGUGCCUUUGUAAAAUUAAAAAUAGAUACCAGCCUGUUAGAAAAGCUUAGAAACAUGUAAGCUCUCCAAGGCAGUGCUUGUUGCUUGUGAAAAACAAACAAACAAACAAUAAAUCAUGUUUUCCUAGGAAAACUUUGCAAAGGGCCACAAAGGGCAUUUUCCUAUUAAUUUCUGUGGGGAAUGUGCCCAGGUUUUUCACUGAUUGAUAACAGUUUUGCUACAAAACUUCUUAUGGUAUGUUACAAGACAUGUAUCUUGAUAGAAAAUCGAGAAGCCCUAUAGAUAAAAUGUUUUUUUUCAUGGCUUUUUCUGGUUCUUGUAUUAAGCCACAGCUUGGCUGAACUUUUUUUUUGCUGUUGUGAAACAUCCCUGUUUACUAAAGCGAUAUUAUAAGUUUCAUUUUUUCCUGAAUAUUGUUCCCGAGGAAAUACCAAAGCAUUGUUUUUACAAGAUACCCUGAACUGUCAGUUUCCUCGAAACACAAUGUAUUUAAUACAAAGCCAUUAAGCCUUGUAAAACUGUCAAAAAUGUAAAUGACACUUGUAAUAAAACCUUGUCGUGUGACCGGCUCUAGCUAAUCAGGGUUGAUGAUAUCACUGCAGCUGAUCACGGCUGGUGCUAUGUACAUUUCGACAGCUUUAUGACCUGCAUGGAUUUGUGUUAUUAAAAUUGUACAGUUUUGUAAGGAAUUUGGGAUUUAAUAAAGCAGCAGAGAAACUACAAAAGGGACGGCGUAUUCCACUAAAAGCGAGCCAGGCUUUAAAAAAAUAAUGUCAACAUAUAUAGUACAUGAGUGUGUGUGUGUGCAUGUGUCUGUGGAUGUGAAUAGGAAAACCAGGAGAGGUUCUCCUCUCGUAGCUCUCUCAGGGUAAGGGCUGCUCAUAUAAACCACUUUUAUGUAUUUAUAGCCCAGCAAAUACCUUGCAUCUGUGAGGCCAUAAAACAAAUUACAAUGUAUCCAAUUGCUUCAAGGUGGCGAAUUGUGCUUAAACUUAAUGACUUGUACAGAUUAUAGGAGAAAGAGCAUUACCUGUUUAAUGUCCUUUUUAAUAAGUAAUUCCUGAACAAGUAUAGUAAAUGGGAGGUUGGGUCUUUGUUUCGGUUUGUUUCUUUUUCUUCUUUUCCCCCUGAGAUCCCACUAGAGUAGGCCUUUGUCCCUGCAAUAGCUGGGUAACGCACUGUUAUAUUUAUUUUGCAAUACUUUGAACUGCUCCCCAGAGUACAAACAUGUCAGAUGAGGAGAGACGAGGACACAUAUUCUCCCAGUAAUCUAUAAAUUCAACCUAAUGGGGCAGAUAUCAGAAAAAUGUGUUGGACUGAAGGUGCAUAAAUCACACCUGGUUUCCUGGCAUAAGCUGGCACUGUGUGCCUUAUAUUUCAGCCAAAUUAUUCCAUUUGUUUCUGAAGAUAUUUUAAUCCCUCGUGACCUCAAACUUCCCGUGAACCAGGCCCUGAACAAACGGCCGCCCACUGUCUUUGCAGUAAAUCUGUUGUCUCCCUUCUAGGCCCGCAACCCGGGAUCAUAGAUCACCCCUGCACCGCAUCUUGCUUCAAUUUACUCAAUUAACUCGAGUAAAGCACUUGUAAGUUUGCAGAUGUUGCUUUAUUAUCAAGGCCUAAAACGUACAAGAGAGUUCAGGAGCCCGAGGUUACGGGGAGGUUGUGCUGAGGGGGUGGGCAGCAAUGGUGCAGGCCUCCCUCUGUCUCUUUGGGAUGGUGGGCUCAGGACGUGGCUCCCCAGCACAGUUAUUUGAACCAUAAGAUUGCCUCGUGGAUCGGGGACCAUCUGAUGUUAUCUCACAGAAAGAUAGGAUAUGAGAAAUAGGUAUUUCACCUCAAGAUGAGAUAACACUGUGAUUAACAGAUGUUUAAUUGGGCCAUUCGUCAAGUGAAGAACCUGCCUAAAAGUCAGCGAGGCUGAGUAAAUUAUUUCCAACCCUGCAGGUGUUGGACUGGCAGCUCUAUUACUCUUCCAGAAAUGGGCUUUAGAAGAUUUUUAUAUGAAAAGAUAAUUUAUUUCUAUGAGGUAUUGUAUUGUGCUUUUUAUUUAUGUAAUAAGCUUUAAGUUUUGUGUCUGGGCCUCCUUCAUCUUCACACUGGAAUGAACUGGGGAGGGUCAGAAGGAGGAAGAGUCCCUCUGUGAAAUUACCAUCUAGCAAAAGUCAUGUGUCAUGGUAUUUGAGAACUUCCCAGCAGCCUAUAGCUGUGGAUAUGUAUAUAUAUAUAUGUGUGUGUGUUAUAUGUGUUAUAAAAUAUAUAUAUAUAAAUACAUAUAUAAAAAUAGGUGGGGAAAUUUUUCAAAACAUAACUGGCUUAAUAAACUCAAAAAUCACUGGUGUUGUAGGACUGGUGUUGUUGUUUAUCCUGAUCAUUAGCAGAGAUGAGUUGCUAGAGGUCCAUUUAUUCUAUGAAAAGUGUAUCUGUAUUAACCAGCAUUUUGACCCAGGAUUUCAGUCUCAGUGUAUCACAAAAAUCAGAUAUCAAGUGGGUUCCAUGUUGUUGCAGAUCUCGCAGCAAGUUUCAUUCAGGUCUGAUUUUAAUUUCCAACAAUAACCAUCUAGCCUGCAUUAAUUAUUCUCUUCGCUGCCAAACUUAUUUAAGAUGCUCUAGGGAUGGUUACAAAAUAUAUACCUUUAAUUCCUGUGGACUGUUUUCCUGCAGCAGUAGAUUUUUCCUGUUGGCCCACAGUAGUUAUGACAGAAGUGAAAGCUUUGGAGCUAUUGUGAUGUUCAUUUCUGCAGUGCUCAAUGAGAGUGAAGAAAAAUCCAGAGCAGCCUUUCCAUCUUCACUGAUGUCCAUGAACAGGUGACAAGCUCAAAUAGCCUUUCUCAUGUCCUUCUACAAGACAUAGUUAAAACUACUGGAGGUUCUCUUGCAUAUACACAAGGAUGUCUUAUGCCUAUAUUAGAUCUUAACAGAGGCACUUGAUGUGUAGCAAAUUGUUCCUAUGAAUCGUAGAAUCAAUGAAACAACAACAGGAGUAGCAACACCAGCACCUAUCAGGCCUUGUCUGUCUGUCGUCUAGCACUAUGAUCACAAGACAGUUGACAGCAUAUUUCAUGUUAAUGCUUUUUAGUCAUCUUUGUGAUACUUAUAAGUAUCUGAGAUAAGACUAGAUCUCUGGAAUAGCAAGAACAGAAAAGAAAAAAAAAAAAGGGGCUAUAUUCCUGAAUAUCUUUUCUCCUUUAUGGCAUUCAGCCUAUGAACAAGAUGCUGAUAGUUUAACAUAUAUAUAAUUUUUUUAGCUUUUGCAGAAAUCUUUAUCAGAUCUUACUGGGCUUAAAGGGCUUUGGCAUAUGAAGUCUUCUGUAAUGGUGACAUUAAUUGAACAGACUGGAAUGAGUUAAAUGAGGUCCAAUUCUAUCAGUUUCUCCUGCAUCAUCUAAACUGAAGCUUGGGUUUGAUAGCAAGCCAAAUUUUAGUCCUCUGUUUUCAGUAUCUGUAAUGCUUUAAACUGAGAAGCCAAACUAAAUCUCAGGGGGAGUCACAUGGCUCACAAAUGUGGAUGCAAAUGGAUACACAUAUACUUUUAGUACAAUAUUUUGUGUGUGAAAGUCUCUCAAACUCUUCUUGGCGUUUAACUUCCAUAAGAGAAUCUUUAAUUACUCUUUGAAUAAGCCAUUACAUUUCUUUUUUUACUCACAGCAUUUUUUAAAAUAGUGGUCUGUUCUGUUUCUCUGUAUAAUGGAAGUUAAUAAAAUAUGUGCCAGAAUCAAAAAAUAUGAUGAGCUACAAGGCAUACUCCAGACUAUAAGGAAAGAGAAGAAAGAGCUGGCCUUUAAUUCCACAGCCUAUCAGUAUUUCUCAUUGGAAUUGCUUUUGGUCCCUUUCCCCAAUAUGUCUGGCCUGAGUCUAAAUAAUUCUCCCCCUUUCUAACUUUGUAGCUCCCCAAUUUGUGCUCAUUUAAACCCCGUCCACUGUGCCAAAAAAACAGCUAUGGUUUAAGUCCAACGUCUGUUGAAUUACAACCACUGAAGAAGGAAUCUCAGAAAUAUGUUACACUAAAGUACCAGCAAUAAUUUACCAGCAGUUCUGGCUAACUGGGGAGGUCCUAGUUGCCUGGAGGUUAACGAAUGGGAACCCAGCCUAUAAAAAGGGUAAGAAGGAAGAUCCAGAGAAUUACAGGCCCAUCAGCCUGACCUCAGUACCAGGGUAAGUUAUAGAGCAAGUCUUCUUGAAUGCCUCAUUGUACAUGGCACUGGUAAUACUGCACCUUCAACUUCGUGUUCAGUUUUGGGCCCUGAAUGAGAAGGAUGAUGUUGAGUUGCCUGAGCACCUGCAGAGACAAGUAAUGAAGCUGGUGAAAGGACUACAAGACAAGAUAUAAUGAGGAGCAGAAUGGGUUCAUUUAGUCAGGAGAAGAGGAGGCUGAGGGGAGACUACAUCACUUUCUACUGCUUCCUGAAAGGAGCUUGCAGUGCAAAUGUGUUGGUCUCUUUCCUCAGAUGACAACACCUGUGUUAGAAAACUGGUAGUCUUGUACCUGUAAGACAGUGCACAAUAGCAGCUGAACUGUCUUCCUGUCUCCAUUUCAAAGAAGGAGCUUGGUAAUGGUGCUGGAGUCUGCUUUAUGAACACUGGCUGUUUAGUGUAAGAAAUAAAUUUGUCCUUCAUUCAAUGAACUAAACAUCUGAGAAACAAAUGAUGUUCCAGUUGUUUAACUUUUACUCACUUUUGCACAUCACUGCUUCUGCACAAGUGGUAUAACUGGAUACUGUGAUCAGUGCUGAGUGGUUUGUCUGAUCACUAUCUGCAGAUGGCUAACACACUCUCAGGAACACAAGAGUUGCUCACAGCAGCUAUCAUGGACACAAGUGUAUUUUGUGACAAGUGCUCUUCAUCUCCUUGCUAAACUCAGUUAAAUGUAAACCAAACAACUGGGCCAAUUUUGUUGCUUUUGGCAGGGCAGUGCUGUUAGCAAGUGACUUGCUAGGAGUGGCCACUGGGUCCUUGCUGAAAUGUGUACAUGGCACUAACAGUUCUUUGAAUAGAAAUGAAUUAGAUGUCUGUGCUUUCACCUAGCAGAUGGCAAAUGAGAAACUAUCUUCACUUUGCUCUUUUCUAUCAAUACCCAGCUGUCAGCUAUUGAUAAGCUGCUAUCAAAACCUGAUUCGGUUAAAAACUCAUUUGGAUGUAACUAUCUCAGUUCCAGCCACUGCUGUUUUAGACAGUUUACAAUCAGGAGACAGCCACUGACUUCAAAAGACAUCAUCAGCUCUCAGCUUGUAAAACGCAGAACUCUCAUCUUAGAAUUGUAGAAUCACUAACCAUCCCACAAGAGACCCACAGGGAUCAUCAACUCCAACUUCUGGCUCCACGCACAACCACCUAAAAAUCAAACCAUAUGUCUGAAAGCGUGUCUUGAACUCCAGGAGGUACUGUGCCCACUGCCCUCUGGUGCAGAGCCUUUCUCUACCUCUCACCUGACCCUCCCCUGAUGCAGCUCUGUGCCAUUCCUUCUGGCCCUGUUGUUGACUCCAGAGAGCGGAGCUCAGCACUGAACAACAAAAAACUCCACAUAGAAGGGAUCUCCAGAAAGAAAUACUUCCUUAGUGGUAGUCAGCCUUUAAAUGGGGGUCAUUAUUCCAUGGGUAUCAUUUCAGUCACACAGCUGAAUUGCCUUCACCUGUGCUUCAGGGCUGACCCAGUUCUUGCCUCAGGUGGUCAAUCAGUGGUUCAGGCCAUGAUUCAACAGUUCCCAUACAGCUUCUCAGUCAUAAAUAUAUGAAAUCAGUGUGCCUUAAAGAAGACUUAACAAUGUUGCUUUAGAUCCAGCUGCAGUUCAGCCUCUCUCUUUCUUCCUUUAAAUAUAUAUAUUUCUAUCUUAAUAGCACAUUUCAUAAACUGCCAUCUGGUCUUGUUGUGAACCACAAGCCUACUGUGUCUCUUCUGUAAAUACUGGCUUGGCUUUGUGCAAAUUAACAUGGAAAAUGAUCAGAAGGAAAGCUUGCAUUGAUUUCACUGGAAGAAGUUGAAAUUUCUUUUAGUCUGUUGUUGGUGUGAAAAUUUGUAUGCAAAUAUUUUGUCAAAAUAAAGUUUGGAAAGGAUAAGUGAAUUGAAAUGGCAAUUAAAUCAUGAUUAUUUUUCCAGCAGAAUUGAGAGUUUGAUUCCAGCUCCCAUGUUUUACAUCCCUUCUCGUCUUUUUUAAAGGAAGUAUCCAAAGAUCAUCAACAAAGGUUGGCCUUAAUCUGGGGAAAGGCUGUGCUCUUUUUGAAACUCAUAACCCACUUCUCCAUUUAAAGGAGGUUCAUUUUUGUUUGUUUUGGUUGAACAAAACAACAGAAAUUCACAAAUUUUUCUUUUAUUUAAUCUUUUUCUCCAGAGAAGUAAGAAGAAGAUUUGUGCAAAAUAACAAGAGCAAUAUCAAUGCUGUGCGGUGCUCCUUGGAAGUUGGACUGUGCUUGAAUACUCAGCAGUUCUGAAGGAAAUAAUUAUCAUUUUCUCUAUUAGAAGUAUUGAUAACACAGCACCCAUCAGACACACAGGCCAUGCUUAAAGACAUUCUGGGUGCUGGCUUUUAUCACCAUUCACAGAUAUGAGACUCUUUCAGUUACACUGAGGGCUGUUUUGUUGGCAGCACUUGUUUAUGGUUUUAUUUUUAUUUUUUAGUUUCUUUUACAUAAGAAAAUUUGAAUAAUAUGCAGCAAAUUGAAUGACAGAUACAAUUUUGAAGGCUACAAACCUAAAACCUUUAAGCAGUGAUUUAAAAGCUAAUUAUUAUGGAUAUAACCAUUCAACAUUCGUUUCUUAAUACUGUUCCCUCAAGAAAUAGUGAUUUAGUCAACCAAUUAUUUUAUCUCUUUUAGGGAUACUUCCUUAAUUGCAAAACAAUCUAAAAAUAUAAUCAGCAUGCUAAAUACAUGUGGUAUCUUGUUUAGAAUGCCACGUUGGAGGAAGAAUGCAAUUAAACUGUCAAAAUGUAAUUGUUUCUCAUAUUUAAUUUAAAGAGGCUGAUUCACAUUUGCUUUUCAUGUUUAGGAGUUAAAAAACAAAGCAAGUUACUAGUACAACUACUAGUUUUUAAUAAAGAAAACAUAAGCUUGGAGCACUGACGAAAGCUGCCUCUGUCAUGAGAUACUGCUAUCAAAAGAUAGGAAACCAUUCUUAUUUUUUUUCACUCUUCUCCUAAUCACAGUUCAGGAUUCAGUGCUGCAGCACGUAAGAUGAUCUUUGUAAUUUCAGGCACAGCUCAAACAUGAGAUGAUUUGUAACAAGCUCUCCAUCUACUCACUGCCUUCAGAGCCUAUGUUCAGAGAUGUCUUGCCUUGUGGCUGUCUUCCAAGCUACUGGAAGAAUAAGGGUGGAAGGGGACCCUGAACUGGCCUUUGAUCAGCUCAUCUCUCAUCCCUACUACUUCUGCUCUGGAGAAAGGGGCAGGUACAGACACAGACCUGCAGUAGUUUUACCUGUCUGUAUCUGUGUUGAAAACCACCUGCUCAGUGAAAACUGGUCCAGAUUUACCUUUAUCUAUUCCAAACUGAGUGACAAUGUAAGCAGAGGAGCAGUGCAGUUCUGGGAUUGUUAUUUCAUAGCGUAUAACCGGGGCUGCUAUUUCAUAGGAUGUAACCUUGAGUGCACUGGAUGGAAAUUAAGAUCCAUCUGACCAAGUGCAUGACCCUCAAAGGCAACUCUGAGCAUUCUCCUAAUUUUGUUGAUACAUACAAGUACUUUCAACACAAUGCCAGAAAAAGAGCUAGCUUUUGAUUCCAAGUCGGAAAAAAAGGAUUUUCUACUUUCAUCUUAUGUCAUUUUUCUUUUUUUAAAAAAUAGGGGAAAAAAAAAUGUAUUAAAAGUUAUGUAAUAACCAGCUAGGAUAAAUCUUUGAGAUUAAUUAAUUCAAGUUUAUUGGACCCAUGUAAACUUGCCAAGAACUUUUCAACCCUACUUGGCUCUUCAGCAAAGAUCAGCAGCCUAAUGGGUUCAGUAGCACUGGUAAUUAACCUACGAUCUUAGAUCGGGUAGGAGUCUUUUAGCAUGUACAGAACACUGUGAUGAACUCCAUUUUGUGAUAAUAAAUAAACACAGUAUCAUGUAUUAUUCCAGCCAACACACCCGGACACCUUACAGGCUUCUGUCCUCAGUGGGCUGAAUUUUCUGAAGAGUCAGUUUGCAAUUUGAAGCCUCUAUAGGUAGUGCUGCCUUUAAGUGGUACACAUGCUGGUGACCAGGCAUACAAAUACAAAGAUAAAAUAUACAAGCAGCCUGUACAGAUAAUUGCAGAAGUGAAUUAGGGGACUUUAUUGCCAUUAGAAUGUUGGGUAUAUUUUGUAUUUGUGUUUUCUUGUACGCUAUUUGUAUGCUAUAUUUUAUUACUGCUUUACAAAUGGAGCAGGUUUGCUUUUACUUUGUUUUGUCUCUUCUGUAACUAGGACAAUAAAUAGCACUGGUAGGUUGUUAUUCCAUCAAUGGCACAUUGGCUUAGCGGGUGGGCUUCCCACCUAUUUGUUCCCAGCAGUGUAUAUGUGCAGGUUUAUUCCAACUUACAAAUGCACUGGAAAGAGGGAUAAAUACAUGAUAUCACCACUUUUUUCAGUAUGUUUUUGACAAGUGAGUUAUGGCUGAAGAUGCCAUAUCUGUGCCUGCUACCUCCCAGUAGAAAAAGAGUCCCACAUCAGCAGCUAGGAGUGCGUAGGGGGCUGCAUUUUAAAAGCUCAGUCCUACAAAUCCUCAAGAUCCAACUCUUCCCUUGUGCUCCUGCAUCCAUCCUCAUGUGAAAAAAUGGAUGUGUGUGUGCCAGGCCAGGCCUUGAGUAGGCUCUGCAAAUUUUAUACUGGAUUUGUGUCCCGUAAGAACAUGCAUUAGGGUUGCCAGUUUGAAAUAUGACAAAACCCAGCCGCCUCAGACAAAUGGCUGCUACCCACGCUCAGCUUCGUCCGCACAUGUGCGGUGCUCAGGAUAACAACUGCCAAGUCUAUAGUAAAAGAGGCCAGGCAGGAAGCCAGCCACAUGGCAACUCUAAAUGAAAUUAAUAAGACUUUAUAAAAAGUUAAAAGCACAAUGUAGCUUUUCAAAGUGUUUCUUAGAGAUCUCUACAUAUGUAUAGGUGUUUCAUGUCUAUGAGAUAGAGGCUUGGGGUAAAUUUAAUGCAGUAUGCUUUUCUGGCUAAGAAUAUAUAUUCUUUUCUUUCUCCUGAAAGCUGUUGAUAUAAACUGGGACUCAUUAAAAACACCUUGUGUUUUGUUUUUAGAACUCUUGAUUUUAGGUCAUUUGCUGGAUCAUUAGAACGUGAUGUAGCAUCAGCAACUGUUCCAGAGGAGCCCUUUCUUGGAAGAAACAGAAUAUUUUUGUCUCAGUCAAUGGCAAUAAAAGGGUGCUUAGCACCUUUUAGGAGAUGCUGAGUGUCUCUCCCAGGCCCAAGUCCAGAGAUAGCAUUCCCGAAGGACAGAUACAAGGAUAUUAAAAAGGACUUUGAUCAAAGAAAUAUUGCUUCUUUCCUCCUUUCACUAAGCAGAUGUGCAACGUGUCUUGGGAAAGAAAUAGAAAAAUUCCUGAGUGAUUUAUUUGAUGAACCUAGUUUUAACCCAGGUUAUUGCAUGCCUGAUAUGGUGAUGCUGGUUAUUAGUUUUCAGUUGAAAAUGACCAGAUAGAGGACAUAUUCACUUCAUCAAUAUAAUACAUUUAUUGGUUGUCAAGAGAGUCACAUCACACAGAUAUGUAAAUCUGUCACUUUGUCUUAAAAGUGUAUUUCUCUAUUACAAUGUUGCUUGAUGUAUGUUUUAAGGCAGUAAGGCCUUUUAAAUAUUAAAAAAAAAAGACAAGGGGGAAGAUUUGUCUUUUCAAUCACAGGAUUUAAGACAUUAAAAGCAGAUGCAUCAUUUAUAAAAGUAGGAUUUUAUCAAAUGCCAUUGUAAAUGAAAGACUCAUAUCUACCAUAUGUAGAUAUGUGAAUUAAAGGAACCUUCUUUCCCAUGAAAAUUAACAAACUGUUUUGCCAGCCUUAAGAUGGAUUAGUCUUUGAAGCCAGUUGCCAGUUGACCACAAAUCUCAAUUUGCUAUGUCAAAACUAAAAUAGAAUAGACCCUUUGUUUACAUUAUAUAAAAAAUAAAUGUUUUUAUUUCUGUUUAUAUGACCACAGGAGUAAUCCUACCUUCAGAAAAAAAAAAAAAUGCACUUGAACAUUAGAACAAAGAAGUUUAGUUGUAGUUUAACUCAUUCUUUACCAUUAAAAGAAAGAUACGUCAAUAACAAUAAUUACUAAAAAUAAUAAGAUCUCUCUCCUCAAAAUGCGCAAAACUGGCUUUCUGAAAUAUGAUAGCAUGGUAAACUUCAAAACAAAAAAUAGCACCUUGCAUUGUGGGGUGUUGCGGUGCUUAACAUGCACUAAUGCUGUGAUGAUGACGUGUUGCUAGCAACGCUCCCUGCUCUUGACUGAAUAAGACCAGGUUGCCUGGUCUAAAAUACUGAAGAGUAUUUUUUUCUGUUGUCUUUAGUUUUGUAUAACAGGACAGAGCAAUAUGGCGCACCACUUCAGCUGGCAUGAAGUCUGCCAAUUGUUACAGGAAGAUCUAUAUCAGGCUCUUGAGGAAGUACCUUAAGACAAUGGUAGUGCUGUUGCUAGGAAUAACAUUCAAUGGAAACAAAUAUGAUUUUGAUAACGCAAUAAUAGGCAAGUUAUUGUGUAACCACCUUGGUACAAACCCAAAGGAACUGAUGGAUUAAAUAUGAGAAAUCUGUCAACAAGUUCAGCAUAUAUUCCAUAUGUAAAUCUUACACUGAGUUUAGUAGUUCUGUGUUAGCAGUGCCUCUCAAACUGGGUGCUGUAUCAUCUUGAUUAAAACUCGUGGUAAUUUACCAGUUGCUGAAGAGGGUGUUGCUAGUACAGAGGAGAAUAUGAUAAUUAAUUCGUAUGCAAUCAAUUUAAAAUAAAGUAAGGUAAGCAUAAGAGGGGGAAUUACAAAGCAUGUCUGAAAGGAAAUAAAAAGAAGGAUGUGGCAAACCACAUAAUUAGUGUAGAGAUUUUUAGGCUCAUUUGUUGAAAGGUGAUAGAAACAGGACUGGAAGGGGGAGAUCUGUCAGCCUAGUCUAAGGUGUUCUGACCUAAAAUUUUAAUGUAGUCUGUGACAGAGAUUUGAACCAGUUUAAAAAUGUGGAAUUCUAGCUUCCCCCAGUAAAAUGUGUUGAUAUCUGUUGAUAUUCAGAUCUUUGGUUCCAGUUCAUUUCCAGUGAGUACCAGGCUAAUGUAAAAAAAUACCGUUCAGUUCAUCAAGUCACACUGAAGAGUGUGUGUUGUAACAGACCACCACUUUGUAAACCAUGAUUCAUUGCCAUGGAAAAAGAAUUCUAAGACUGAAAAGAUCAAGCAAAGUUGAUCUCAGCUUGAGCAGUUUCACUAUUUCCAAGGUGCUUAGCUGGCUGCCAGGGCUCUCUAUCGCUUCAGUGAGCAGAACAUCAACUUUGGGAAGAAGAUGCAAUCAUAAAAUUGAUUUGCCGAUUUUGUAUGCUAGGAGAAGCUGCUGUACAGUGGAAGAUAACUGAUGACUAAUGCUUCUUAAGUUCUCCUCAGAAAACUGUAAGACUGUAUGAAAGCACAGUGUACCCUGAGAUAGGGCUUCCAGGUGGCACAAAUUUUGGAUGGUGAUGCGUUCAGAUGCACUGCAGUCAACAGUGAAUCUAGAUGUAAUGAUGCUGAGCAUGCCACAGGGCACUGGAGUUCUUCAUGGUGCCUAUGUUUCAUUCAUUGCUAAGAAUAUUAUUGAUUUCCUUUUAGGAUUUAAAAGACCCCACAUUGUUGAGAGUGUUUUUAUGUCAUGUCCGUUUUCCUGUUCUCCUGGCUUCAGUUGCAAGGAUAGAGUUUUCUGGGCUCAGGGCCCACUCAAAUGGUCAAAAGGAUUUAUUAAAGACCUUAAAAACUGAAGUGGAAGAAUGGAAGUGUUUGGGUGUUUUUUGAAAAAAUGUAAAGAGGUUUCUGGAUUGGAAUAAAAAUAGUUACUGAUACCCCAUUUAUUUCCCCACACAGCUGAACUGCUAUUUUCCAUUCAAAACCACAUAAGGUUCUAGAUGUUUUAGGUACAGCUUUAGGUAUGGGCAGGUUUACCCUGGUUCUUUCCACCCUGUAGAGAUUUCUGAAGAUUCCAAUGCUAUUUGGCUGCAGCAUCCUGGCUGCUGACAGAUUAUCUCUCCCCCUUUCCUCUUCUGGGAAUUGAUCUGGUUUGCACAGUAACCCUACUGCUGGCCCCAAACUGUGCCGUUCGCAGCAGGGCUGCCUGGAUGGAGUGGGAGAUAUGGCUCUUCUGGGACCAGGGAGCUCAUGGGUACUCAUGUGGCUCAUAGCAGGUUCUGUACCCCUGGCAGCUCUCCCUUUUCACCUUGUCUGCCCACAGCCCACCACCACUGGCGCAUUACCUCCUGCCUUAGUCCUUGGUCCCUUCCUUCCUCCUUCUGCCUCCCAGUGCCCCCAUUUUCCCCUGGCUCCCACACCUACGUAUGUACAUCUGCCUGCAGGUACUGCACAGAAUAGUAGUAGUAGCUAUUAUUACUCUCAGUUCUUUAUUAAUGCCACAUGUGCUGUUGUAAGGUUAAGUUAUUAAGUGAUAUCCAAUAAUUGUCUCUGCUCUAAAGUGGACGUUUCAUUUAACUAUACUCAUGCGGAUCUGUUUCAGUGCCAUUUAUCACAACCACAUUUUAAGAAACAUUUCAGUAGGUCAUUUCUCCUUUUCCUUUCUUUAACUCAAAUAGACCUAAAAGGUCCUGGUCAAAAAUUAAAUACAAUUACCUUUGGAACAGCAUAAGGGAGUGUGAGGUUUGUAUGUGCUUUGGAAGUUAAAUUUAUAUUUUACAGGGCUAUCAUCUUGGCUGCAGAGUUAAUUUUACUGUAUUUGUGCACUUGCUGGAAACGCUUACACGAAGGCAUACAAUGACCUGUUUAGUUUGCAGGAGAAAAUCAUGUCAUUUGCAAGCAAGCUUUCAGCUGUGAUAUUUUAUAAUUGUUUAGAUGAAAACCCGAUAAUCCUCUACUCCUUCACAUAAACUGCAAUCCAUCUUUAAAACUGUGAUAAUUCAUAAAACCUGCAGCUUAAUAAACUAACAAACCCCAGGCCUAUGUUAUUUUAAGGGAAGUCAAUCUUUGAUCAGUCAAGCUGAAAUGGGUCUGAUAAGUGGCGGCCUUCCUCACAGGGAGCAGCACUCCAGUUUGUUAUUGCUAUUUGCUCAUCAUCCUCGAGUGCAAAAUAAGCAGAAGUCUUUCCGAGCUCCUUAUCUCUUUUCACUUUCUUCUCUAGAUCUCUGUCGCUUUAAUCCAGCAUGUCUGCUGCUGGUUAACAAGGAAAUCCUGUGUCAAUUAUCGCCAACAACUUCCUGCUGUGAAGCUGUGGGGAAUCAAAGCUUUUGAGAGCCUUUUUCACACCAGAGAGUAGUGCAGGGCCUAAUUAAAUGGCCCUCAUAUCCUGCAGCCUACUGGUGGCCAAAUGAUAGAGAGCUAAUGAACGCUAACCUAAUUUUUUCAGGAAUUGUUUUGAUUCUUCCGGUCAGCGGUGCUUAUUGACCGAACCUGGGUCCGAGUGGGGUGGCAGAAGGUGAAAAGUGGCAAAGAUGGGGAUCUGUGGGGCUCUUUGUGUGCAGGCGUUCAGUUAUGUACUUGUAUACAUUGCAUA